Molecule: ribosomal RNA, 504 nt
Filed under: uncultured bacterium
Lineage: Bacteria
Description: partial 16S ribosomal RNA
Rfam family: Bacterial small subunit ribosomal RNA
Source: RNAcentral
GAUGAACGCUAGCGGCAGGCUUAAUACAUGCAAGUCGAGGGGCAGCAUAAGGGUAGUAAUACCCUGGUGGCGACCGGCGCACGGGUGCGUAACGCGUAUGCAACCUACCCAUUAUCGGAACAUAACUUUUAGAAAUGAAGGCUAAUAUUCCAUAAUACUGAGAAAUGGCAUCUUUUUUCAGUUAAAGAUUUAUUGAUAAUGGAUGGGCAUGCGUAUCAUUAGCUAGUUGGUAAGGUAAUGGCUUACCAAGGCGACGAUGAUUAGGGGUUCUGAGAGGAUUAUCCCCCACACUGGAACUGAGACACGGUCCAGACUCCUACGGGAGGCAGCAGUAAGGAAUAUUGGGCAAUGGAAGCAAUUCUGACCCAGCCAUGCCGCGUGAAGGAAGACAGCCUUAUGGGUUGUAAACUUCUUUUAUUGUAGAAUAACCGCAGGGACGUGUUCCCUGCCUGCAAGUAUAUAAUGAAUAAGCAUCGGCUAACUCCGUGCCAGCCGCCGCCGUAA